RNAcentral lists this ribosomal RNA (445 nucleotides) under uncultured bacterium. RNAcentral describes it as "bacterial SSU rRNA". It matches the Rfam family "Bacterial small subunit ribosomal RNA", at positions 355 to 823 of the family's 1533-position model. The record is from RNAcentral.
UCGGGAAUUUUGGGCAAUGGGGGAAACCCUGACCCAGCAACGCCGCGUGAAGGAUGAAGUAUUUCGGUAUGUAAACUUCGAAAGAAUAGGAAGAAUAAAUGACGGUACUAUUUAUAAGGUCCGGCUAACUACGUGCCAGCAGCCGCGGUAAUACGUAGGGACCAAGCGUUGUUCGGAUUUACUGGGCGUAAAGGGCGCGUAGGCGGCAUGACAAGUCACUUGUGAAAUCUCUGGGCUUAACCCAGAACGGCCAAGUGAUACUGUCGCGCUAGAGUGCAGAAGGGGCAAUCGGAAUUCUUGGUGUAGCGGUGAAAUGCGUAGAUAUCAAGAGGAACACCUGAGGUGAAGACGGGUUGCUGGGCUGACACUGACGCUGAGGCGCGAAAGCCAGGGGAGCAAACGGGAUUAGAUACCCCAGUAGUCCCUGAGCGGGCUGGCAAGGCGC